GCCUGGGUGGCUCAGUCAGUUGAGCAUCUGACUUCAGCUCAGGUCAUGAUCUCAGGGUUCAUGGGUUCGAGCCCCACAUCAGGCU
Molecule: transfer RNA, 85 nt
Filed under: Felis catus (domestic cat)
Lineage: Eukaryota; Metazoa; Chordata; Mammalia; Carnivora; Felidae
Rfam family: tRNA
About the family: Transfer RNA (tRNA) molecules are approximately 80 nucleotides in length. Their secondary structure includes four short double-helical elements and three loops (D, anti-codon, and T loops).
Source: Rfam by way of RNAcentral